This 214-nucleotide long non-coding RNA is filed under the name Nicotiana benthamiana. RNAcentral describes it as "long non-coding RNA (NBEN_LNC042623)". Lineage: Eukaryota; Viridiplantae; Streptophyta; Magnoliopsida; Solanales; Solanaceae. The record is from RNAcentral.
CAUCCAACGGCCAUGGGAGGUUCUUCAAAUUUUAAUUUAAUUGUUCGAAAAUCCCAUAACCCUAAACGUCAUUCUUCGUCUUCCUCGUACCCCUUCUGCUGCAUCACCAUCUGCCACCGCCGGAAAUCGCCCACGGCGGCGGCGAAGCUCGAAACCACUCCAAAAUUUCACCAUAGGUCCCCUUUCUCCUCCUCUUCCCAUUUCUGGUGAUGGU